UAGGUCGACGACACAAUGGGUCGCUAAGCCGCGAGGUGGCGCCAAUCCAUAAAGUUGGUCUCAGUUCAGAUUGUAGGCUGCAACCCGCCUGCAUGAAGAUGGAGUUGCCAGUAACCGCAGGUCAGCUAUACUGCGGUGAAUACGUUCCCGGGGCUU
RNAcentral lists this ribosomal RNA (156 nucleotides) under uncultured Leptolinea sp. Its description in RNAcentral is "partial 16S ribosomal RNA". It matches the Rfam family "Bacterial small subunit ribosomal RNA", at positions 1226 to 1382 of the family's 1533-position model. The record is from RNAcentral. Lineage: Bacteria; Bacillati; Chloroflexota; Anaerolineae; Anaerolineales; Anaerolineaceae.